RNAcentral lists this long non-coding RNA (2316 nucleotides) under Nicotiana tabacum (common tobacco). Its description in RNAcentral is "long non-coding RNA (NTAB_LNC004958)". The record is from RNAcentral. Lineage: Eukaryota; Viridiplantae; Streptophyta; Magnoliopsida; Solanales; Solanaceae.
UAAGCAUAGCGGCACAAGCAAUUUGUUAUUGCAUAUUCCCAAAUGUCCGACCAAUCCCUACAAGGCAGAAGGUAGCCAGACAACAUUAAGUUUUCAGCCGCAAGGUCUAACAGGUAAUGUUUCAGUUAUCCCUUGGAAAUUUGAUCAAGAGGCAUGUAGGAGGGCUUUAGCUCGUAUGAUUAUUAAAGAUGAAUUUCCCUUUAUUUCUGUUGAAAAAGAUGGAUUUAGAGACUUUGUUAGAAGUCUUCAACCUUUAUCUCAUAUUCCAUCUCGUACUACUAUGACUAGGGAUUGUCUUGAGAUUUACCAUGAAGAGAGACUUGCUUUGAAGUCUAUUCUUAAAGAAUCAAAAUAGAGAAUAUGUAUUACUACUGAUACAUGGGCUUCAAUUCAAAGAAUUAAUUAUAUGUGUGUUACAGCCCAUUACAUUAACAAUAAUUGGAAAUUACAUAAAAGGAUAUUGAAUUUUUGUCCAAUUACUAGUCAUAAAGGUCAAGAUUUAGCUAGUGGUAUUGCUAAGUGUUUACUUGAAUGGGGAGUGGAUAAAGUAUUUACUGUGACAGUUGAUAAUGCGAGUUCUAAUGAUGUGAUGGUUGGAGAGUUAUCCAAGCAAUUUACUAGAUGGAACACUAACUUGAUGGAAGGUAAGCAUGUUCAUGUGAGAUGUAUGACUCACAUCAUCAAUCUAGUUGUUCAAGAUGGGUUGAGAGAUGGGAGUGUGUCUGUUGAACGAAUAAGACAAGCUGUUAGGUACAUUAGACAAUCUCCCGCGAGAUGGAAAAAGUUUAAAGAAUGUUGUGAUCUUGAUAGGAUAACUUCUAAAAAAUCAUUGUGCUUGGAUGUUCCUACUAGGUGGAACUCCACAUAUUUGAUGUUGAAGGUUGCUACAGUUUAUGAGGAAGCCUUUACAAAUCAUUGUAUUUCUAACUGCAUUUGUGAGGAUGGACAACCUGCAGGUCCACUUUUAAGUAGUGAUUGGGAUAGUGUAAGACAUAUUGUGAAGUUUCUGGAAAUUUUUUAUGAACUCACCUUGAAAUUAUCAGGUACACUUUAUAUUACGUCUAAUGUACACUUUCUUGAAUAUGUGUUGUUGAUUCUUCUUUGAAAGAGUUGAUGCAAAAUGAAGAUGCUUUCUUGAGAGAAAUGGCAAAGAAUAUAAAAGAGAAAUUUGACAAGUAUUGGGGGGAUCCACAUAAGAUGAACAAAAUGAUUUUUAUCUCAUGUGUGCUUGAUCCACGCCAUAAGUUUAAUACUCUUUCAUUUGCACUUGGUGCUAUGUUUGGAGAAACAGUAGGUUUGAAAAUACAAGAGGAUGUGAAAACAUACAUGGGUACUUUGUUUAAUGUGUAUGGAAUGAAAAAUGGUGGUUCUGGUACAUGUCCAUCUUAUCCAUCUUCUCCAUGUUCUGGUCCAUCUUCUCCAUCUUCUUCAUCAUUGCUCUCAAAAUUCAUGCUAGAUUUAAAGAAGCAUAAGAAAUGUGGCGGAGUUGAUUCUAAAACGGAGUUAGAUAAAUAUUUGGGUGAAGAUAUUGAGGAAGACCAUGAAAAGUUUAACAUUCUGGGGUGGUGGAAGUUGAACUCACCUAGAUUUCCCACUCUUGCUGAGAUGGCACGUGAUGUGCUAGCCAUUCCGAUUUCUAGUGUUGCCUUAGAAUCAGCCUUUAGCACCGGCGGACGCAUACUUGAUCCAUUUAGGAGUUCAUUGACUCCUAGAUUAGUUCAAGCUCUUGUGUGUGUCCAAGAUUGGCUUCGUAAUGAAUCAAUAACUCCGAUUAAAAUUGAAGAAGAUUUAGAUAAUCUUGAACAACUUGAAGCUGGUAAGCCUAUCUUAUUACUUGUGUUUAAUGUAUACUUUAUUUGUAUGUUUAUUUAGAUUACUUCUAAACUAAUUUCUUGUGUUACUAUCUUAUUAUACAGAAUUUAUGAAUACGGGAAGAGAGCCUUGCAUUGUCGACAUAUAGUUAUUUUCCAUUUGUUGUACAAGCUCAGGUAUUUCAUUAUACACUUGCUCCUUAUUUUGUUGUAUGUUUCUGGACCUUGAGCUGUCUUUUUCUUUCUCUGAAAAUGCUCUUUUUAUUGUUUGAAAUUGCAGAUUUUUAACUUGUCUCACAGUCCUACUGAGAAUCUGAGAUUGAGAGCUACAUUUGGCCUGGUUGCUGGUUUGUGUUGACUGUUGCGGCUUCCCAAAACUUGGAACUUGGAACUCUUUUGUUUUGUGUAAUAUGUUAAAGAACUGUUGGGACUUUAGUAGUUUGGUUUGUUUUAUUUUGCUAUGAAAAUAUGGUUUGAAAGACAAUUGAUUGUGUUUUGUUUGGGG